GUACUUCUGGAGUCUUGACUACUCAAACAUGACCGCCCCUUCCAAACCUCUAGUGGCUCCUCCAGGGCGGGUUGAAGCUCUCCGAAGGAAGAAUCUUUGGCUUUCCCUUAGAAGUCACACAGCACAGUCUGUGCUCCUCCAUGGCGGGGAUGAUGGAAAUUGCUGUGCCCCAAUGACUUGGCCUGCAGUAUUAGAAGAUCUAUAAAGACAUUAUGGAUGCAGCUGUGAGACCAGGGUUACAUAACCAGUGCCUCAGUCAACAAGGAAGUGGAAAAACAAUAACUGAUGUCAUCGUUUUGCUCUGUUGGUCUCUUGAAAAAAAACUUCUAAGAUGUUUGUAGGAAAUAUCUUGCAGAGAAUGACAACUUGUUCAUACCAAAGUCAGCUCAAGUUUCAACAUCAAGGUGAUUCUUAGAAUGAGAAGAACAACAAAUCUUAGUACAUAGCGAACUGAGUCGCACCAGUAAUUUUAAACUUGACCUUUUACAAGAAAAAAAAAACUGGUAAGCGUUUUUGUUCUUUUUUUGCAUAAAGUUGUGCCCUGGCCUUUGUGUUUUCCUCACAUAUGACCUAAAGACCCUGUCUACGCAAUGUUAUCCACUUGCAGUGGGUGAUUACAGCGGCCCAGAUGUUGCUGGAGAACGGAGAUAUUAGAUAUGAAAGCUGCAGGUCUCACUAAUAGCUCAGCAAGCCGGGAAGCGUUUGAUCUGUCAUGCAGCCUGUGCGGGGCAAAGCUUUAUAAAUCAGCCUCGUCUAUGGAUGACCACAGCAAAGAAAAGGUUAAUGGCUCCCGCUAUCAGCCGAUUACCCUCUGCUACACGGCUCCAAUGAAUCGCACUACAAAGUGGGUCAUUUAUUAAACUCCAAAGUGGCAAUCUGAGCCAUUCACAACCAAAGUAUCUUUUUGAAGUCAAUGGGAAGAGCGCCAGGACGGAUCCAUGCAGCGCUCACUAAGUGGCACAAGGGCGCCCCCACUUGGAGCAUGCUGCGAAGAUUAUCUGCCCUGGUAUACUAAUAUUCCAAAUGGUACAUACACAUUUCCCCAUGUUUUAUCCGUUUUUAAAACAAUGCAUGUACAGAAAAAUACCUGUUGAUCUGUCAGAAAUCCAGUGAGCUCCUAACUUCCUGUAGUGAGCUGCCUUUGCUGCACUGAAAUCCCAAUCCGUGUUGUCAACCCUGCCUGAGUUCUUAACUGCUGGAAUACAGAAUAGCUCAGUGGUGGGACAAGGUCAUUUAGCAUCAAGCAGAAUAUGGGCUAAGAUCCGCCCAGUUACUUCAGCAGCAUAGGUUGCAGGUCUUUCCAUUUUUGCACCCCCACCCCCCUGUCCUGCUGAAGCUUCCAAAGCAGCAACCUCUUCUGCCUACCUUUCGGCCCAAUUCUAGAACUCCUCAUCCUCCUUCUUCAACCCCCCUCUCUCUCUCUCUCUCUCUCUCAUUAUCUCCUUAAGUAGGAGUGGUUCUGUUGUCCAAUAGGGGAAAAGUGGGCCGGAAGACUACACUGCUUACGAUUCCUGUGCACCAGAGGAAGCGUUGUCACUCCACUACCGUAAAUUUACCAGCUCAUUGGAUUUCACUGCAGAUCAACAGAUAUAUGUAUUUAUCUUUAAGGCCCCUUUC
This is a long non-coding RNA of Rana temporaria (common frog), 1617 nucleotides long. RefSeq lists it as uncharacterized. The transcript is spliced from 5 exons. The record is from RefSeq and is a predicted model, not a curated record. Lineage: Eukaryota; Metazoa; Chordata; Amphibia; Anura; Ranidae.